GUCUGCAGCCAUGCCACCCUGAACAAGCCUGAUCCCGUCUGAUCUCUGAAGCUAAGCAGUGUCGGGCCUGGUUAGUACCUGGAGGGGAGACCACCUAGGAAGACUAGGUGCUGUAGGUG
This 119-nucleotide ribosomal RNA is filed under the name Pteropus alecto (black flying fox). Lineage: Eukaryota; Metazoa; Chordata; Mammalia; Chiroptera; Pteropodidae. The record is from RNAcentral.